RNAcentral lists this ribosomal RNA (435 nucleotides) under Salmonella enterica. RNAcentral's name for it is "partial 23S ribosomal RNA". It matches the Rfam family "Bacterial large subunit ribosomal RNA", at positions 1 to 466 of the family's 2925-position model. Lineage: Bacteria; Pseudomonadati; Pseudomonadota; Gammaproteobacteria; Enterobacterales; Enterobacteriaceae. The record is from RNAcentral.
GGGUUGUGAGGUUAAGCGACUAAGCGUACACGGUGGAUGCCCUGGCAGUCAGAGGCGAUGAAGGGCGUGCUAAUCUGCGAUAAGCGCCGGUAAGGUGAUAUGAACCGUUAUAACCGGCGAUACCCGAAUGGGGAAACCCAGUGUGAUUCGUCACACUAUCAUUAACUGAAUCCAUAGGUUAAUGAGGCGAACCGGGGGAACUGAAACAUCUAAGUACCCCGAGGAAAAGAAAUCAACCGAGAUUCCCCCAGUAGCGGCGAGCGAACGGGGAGGAGCCCAGAGCCUGAAUCAGCAUGUGUGUUAGUGGAAGCGUCUGGAAAGGCGCGCGAUACAGGGUGACAGCCCCGUACACAAAAGCGCAUGUGCUGUGAGCUCGAUGAGUAGGGCGGGACACGUGGUAUCCUGUCUGAAUAUGGGGGGACCAUCCUCCAAGGC